Molecule: transfer RNA, 63 nt
Filed under: Micromelo undatus (miniature melo)
Lineage: Eukaryota; Metazoa; Mollusca; Gastropoda; Aplustridae
Description: Micromelo undata (miniature melo) tRNA-His
Source: RNAcentral
UCAAUUCUAAUUUAAACAAAAUAUGAAUCUGUGGCAUUCAAAAUAGGCCUUGCCUGAAUUGAU